AAUCGAGCUCCCCUCCUCGCUGCCGCCGCCCCACGAAUCUGCACACACACUCCACAUUCUUCGCCAAUUCCCCAAACCCACCGCCGCCGCGCCGCUCUCCUCUAACCCAACCACGCCGGCGGUGGCCCCCCCUCCCCCAAGCACCGGCGACCUCCUCGUCCUCCAGCGCCGAACUCCAACCUUCUCCUUCUCUCCCAAGCGAAGGGAAAGAGGGAAGGCCCCAGAUCGGGCGAGGCCAGAUCCACGGCGGCAUCGGCGCGCCAUCGUCGACCUAGGCUGCGACCACCAUGGUCGCCGUCGUCGUCUCCUCCAUGGAGGUCCGACCCGCCAGGAUCAAGCCGCGGCCUGAGCCUGCCAUGGGGAAUCCGCCCCGAUUGCAGCGUGUAGGCAGGCACUGUAGGAAGAGGAAGAGGGAGGAGGGAGGGGGACGGGGGAGGGCAGCGCCCGUAGCCGCGUGCACGUGGCCGUGGCGCCGGAGUGGCGGAGGAGGGGUAGGGCGGUGCUCGUCGCGGCGGCCUCGACAGGCAACUACGUGGUGCCACCUUCCUCCAACACCGGCCGCCUCGUGCUGCGGCUGCUGGCAGUGGCGCAGCGAGUCUCCCACCUUACCACCACCGCUGCUUGCCGUCCGUCCCUCCUUCCGUCCAUGGCGGCGGCGACCUCCGGCGUCAGCAGGCUCAGCGCGGUGGCAGGCAACAACAACGGCGACGUCGGCCUCCAAGACUCCUGGCCUCUGUUGGAAUAUUUUCGGGCAUUGUCUCAUCAAUUUUACCGAACUCCUGAACACCAUAGAUUUGUGCGGCAACAGGUGGUCAAUCAGCCGUAUGUACAAGAAGCAGAGCGCAUCAGUUCAUGCUCGAGCCCCGAAGAAGGGUUCUGGUGGCGAUGUCGACGGUCGUCGAGAGGUUCGUGGACUGGAUGGUGUCGUGGCUGCUGAUGUACGGAGAGGCGAAGCUGCUGCUCGUCAUCUACCUCUGGCACCCCAGCACACGGGGUGCGGGGCAUGUGUACGAUGGCUUCCUCCAUCUGUUGGUGGCGUUACACGAGGCCGACAUCGACCGGGGCCUGCUUGAGCUGAUGGCUAGGGCGAGGGACGUGACGACGUCACAACUCAAGGCGGUGGCUGCCAUCGGUCAAGUGUGGCUAGUCGAGGCUGCCCGCUGUGUUUCGUUGCAGUUGCAGGCCGCGAGAUCAGGCCGGGAAGGCGCCACGCAUUGACGAGUGAGCCAAUUUUUGGAUCGGACCAUAACAACGUGUCUCAAUCUCUGACCUCUAGAAGUAGUGGUAAAGUUUUGAAUUUGCAUGGCAAGAACCACUUACGUAGGUAGGUGACACACACAACAUUAUGUUUACACUCUUACUUGUGUAAAAGAUAUGAAUUAUAUACGAGUUGCCUCUACAAUGAGGAACUGUGAUAGUAGAUACUGC
This 1428-nucleotide ribosomal RNA is filed under the name Triticum aestivum (bread wheat). RNAcentral's name for it is "partial small subunit ribosomal RNA". Lineage: Eukaryota; Viridiplantae; Streptophyta; Magnoliopsida; Poales; Poaceae. The record is from RNAcentral.